CUACGGGGCGCAGCAGUAGGGAAUCUUCCGCAAUGGACGCAAGUCUGACGGAGCAACGCCGCGUGAGUGAAGAAGGUUUUCGGAUCGUAAAGCUCUGUUGCCAGGGAAGAACGUCUUGGAGAGUAACUGCUCUAGGAGUGACGGUACCUGAGAAGAAAGCCCCGGCUAACUACGUGCCAGCAGCCGCGGUAAUACGUAGGGGGCAAGCGUUGUCCGGAAUUAUUGGGCGUAAAGCGCGCGCAGGCGGCUGUUUAAGUCUGGUGUUUAAACUUGAGGCUCAACUUCAGGUCGCACUGGAAACUGGAUAGCUUGAGUGCAGAAGAGGAGAGUGGAAUUCCACGUGUAGCGGUGAAAUGCGUAGAGAUGUGGAGGAACACCAGUGGCGAAGGCGACUCUCUGGGCUGUAACUGACGCUGAGGCGCGAAAGCGUGGGGAGCAAACAGGAUUAGAUACCCGUGUAGUC
Molecule: ribosomal RNA, 463 nt
Filed under: uncultured bacterium
Lineage: Bacteria
Description: partial 16S ribosomal RNA
Rfam family: Bacterial small subunit ribosomal RNA
Source: RNAcentral